GCUUCCUUAACGUUUGUACCGACAAAUAUCCAACGUCAGUCAUAGGAAUUGCAGAUGAAUAAAUACCAAAGCUUAAAUGAGGCUUCAUAAACUGAUCUGUUGCGAACAAUGCUGCAGUUAAAUAUAGUUUGCCACGUAUAUGCGAUGACGCGCUAUGCUUUCGAGAAGAACUAGUGUUAUCUUAAUUACAUGUGCAUACUCUUUAUGGAGAAGAUCAUUGUUACCAAGGAUCGACCGAUUUGCUCUGUAGAUAUGUUACACAUUAGAUUUUCAAUUAAAGGUUUAUAUUUUAUUCGUUUUCAAAUGAACAUUAAAAUUGUUUUGAGUAUUUUUCUUCUGAAAUUACCGCGGGCUUCAAAUCAACGAACAUCGAUGAAGAGAGAGAGAUAAGUACAAACAUGAGUGUUCUGGGAAGUGGUUGUUCUCAGCUCUUUUCGACUUUUUCCUUCUCCAAAUAAGACGCGAAUAGUGAAAACGACGUGCUUAAUUCUAUGGAAUCAAUUAGCUGGAGGAGAAAAUGCAUUACGCAUCGCCACCAAUGCUGAUCGGUGGGAUAUGUGGGAUUCGCCAAAGGUGUUGAGCGGCCUAUCCAUUAAAAACCUCGCCUCAACUUUUUCUCCGAAAAGCAGAAUUUGCCUCCCUCCGGUUGCGACGCGGCUAUUGCAUUACAACCUUAACUAUAACUAAAUAAAUAAUACUUGACUUUUAGCAAUUAUUCUCAAUGUAUUACAAUACAAGACAAAAGUAAAUAUUA
Molecule: long non-coding RNA, 754 nt
Organism: Bombus pyrosoma
Lineage: Eukaryota; Metazoa; Arthropoda; Insecta; Hymenoptera; Apidae
Exons: 2
Source: RefSeq, a predicted model, not a curated record